UCCGUGGUGACGCGGAAUCUGAAGGAAGCGAGCGGCAAACUUCUGAUCUGAGGAACACGAACUUCAUAUGAGGCUAGGUAUCACUGGGUGAGUUUGCACAACAAAACAAAACGGACAUGGGAACGCCUCAAGGCGGCCCGCUCAGUCCACUUUUAUCAAACAUCAUGCUUCAUGAAUUGGAUAAGGAGCUGGAGAAACGUGG
This is a non-coding RNA of Bacillus sp. X1(2014), 202 nucleotides long. The record is from Rfam. Lineage: Bacteria; Bacillati; Bacillota; Bacilli; Caryophanales; Bacillaceae.